RNAcentral lists this ribosomal RNA (253 nucleotides) under uncultured bacterium. RNAcentral describes it as "partial 16S ribosomal RNA". It matches the Rfam family "Bacterial small subunit ribosomal RNA", at positions 524 to 776 of the family's 1533-position model. The record is from RNAcentral.
UACGGAGGGUGCAAGCGUUGCUCGGAAUUAUUGGGCGUAAAGGGUAGGUAGGUGGUCUCGUUUGUCUGGGGUGAAAGCCUUGAGCUUAACUCAAGAAGUGCCUUAGAAACGGCGAGACUAGAGUCUUGGAGAGGGUCGUGGAAUUCCCGGUGUAGCGGUGAAAUGCGUAGAGAUCGGGAGGAACACCAGAGGCGAAGGCGGCGACCUGGACAAGUACUGACACUCAACUACGAAAGCGUGGGGAGCAAACAGG